AACGUAUUUAUAUAAAAAGUUUACCAAGAAAAAAUAACAAUUAUCAAAGAUAAUGGCCCCCUUUACUGUCUGUAAUAAAUAAAUAAAUUCACGAAAUAAUUUAAAUUGAUGUUGCUAUUUUAUUCUAUAUGUACAUCACGAAAACUUUCUCAUGUAAAUUGAUUAAUUUAACGAAAAGAUUUUUUUAUGUUUUCCUAUUUGGGGUAAAUGCUUAUAAGAAAAUAUUUUAUAUUAUAAACAGUGACAAGAAACGACUUUGAAGCGACAGGAUAAAAAGCCCGUUAAUUCUUAAAAACUCGGCAGACUGCAGAUGGAUGUUGUAGAGAAAAAUAAGCAUAUUCGCUCUAUUAAAUAUCGUCGGUGGUAUUGCCCUACUUGUGAUAUUUUCACAAAUUCAUCAAAUCAAUUCAAUCAACACGUCGAGGGCAUUGGACACCAGUACAAAAUGAUUAAAAUUAACAAUAAAGCUACAAUACAACAAGAAGAUUAUAAAUUCGAUCCUCUAUUUUAUAUUGUAGUAUUCAUACAAAUUGUGUUCAUAUGUUUUGUAUUCUUUUAUGGUUUAAUAAAAAUGUUUAAUUAAUA
This is a long non-coding RNA of Danaus plexippus (monarch butterfly), 585 nucleotides long. RefSeq lists it as uncharacterized. The record is from RefSeq and is a predicted model, not a curated record. The transcript is spliced from 2 exons. NCBI's taxonomy places the organism in Eukaryota, Metazoa, Arthropoda, Insecta, Lepidoptera, Nymphalidae.